AUUGAACGCUGGCGGCAUGCCUUACACAUGCAAGUCGAACGGCAGCACGGGAGUAAUCCUGGUGGCGAGUGGCGAACGGGUGAGUAAUACAUCGGAACGUGCCCAGUAGUGGGGGAUAGCCCGGCGAAAGCCGGAUUAAUACCGCAUACGACCUACGGGUGAAAGCGGGGGAUCGCAAGACCUCGCGCUAUCGGAGCGGCCGAUGUCAGAUUAGGUUGUUGGUGGGGUAAAGGCCACCAAGCCGACGAUCUGUAGCUGGUCUGAGAGGAUGAUCAGCCACACUGGAACUGAGACACGGUCCAGACUCCUACGGGAGGCAGCAGUGGGGAAUAUUGGACAAUGGGCGCAAGCCUGAUCCAGCCAUGCCGCGUGUGUGAAGAAGGCC
This 385-nucleotide ribosomal RNA is filed under the name uncultured bacterium. RNAcentral's name for it is "bacterial SSU rRNA". It matches the Rfam family "Bacterial small subunit ribosomal RNA", at positions 29 to 416 of the family's 1533-position model. The record is from RNAcentral.